CCUACGGGAGGCAGCAGUGGGGAAUAUUGGACAAUGGGCGCAAGCCUGAUCCAGCCAUGCCGCGUGAGUGAUGAAGGCCUUAGGGUUGUAAAGCUCUUUCGCUGGGGAAGAUAAUGACGGUACCCAGAUAAGAAGCCCCGGCUAACUUCGUGCCAGCAGCCGCGGUAAUACGAAGGGGGCUAGCGUUGUUCGGAAUUACUGGGCGUAAAGCGCACGUAGGCGGAUAUUUAAGUCAGGGGUGAAAUCCCGGAGCUCAACUCCGGAACUGCCUUUGAUACUGGAUAUCUUGAGUCCGGAAGAGGUGAGUGGAACUCCGAGUGUAGAGGUGGAAUUCGUAGAUAUUCGGAAGAACACCAGUGGCGAAGGCGGCUCACUGGUCCGGCACUGACGCUGAGGUGCGAAAGCGUGGGGAGCAAACAGGAUUAGAUACCCCAGUAGUC
This 440-nucleotide ribosomal RNA is filed under the name uncultured bacterium. Its description in RNAcentral is "bacterial SSU rRNA". It matches the Rfam family "Bacterial small subunit ribosomal RNA", at positions 338 to 795 of the family's 1533-position model. The record is from RNAcentral.